GAUGGACGCUGGCGGCGUGCCUAAUACAUGCAAGUCGAGCGAACAGAUAAGGAGCUUGCUCCUUUGACGUUAGCGGCGGACGGGUGAGUAACACGUGGGUAACCUACCUAUAAGACUGGAAUAACUCCGGGAAACCGGGGCUAAUGCCGGAUAACAUUUAGAACCGCAUGGUUCUAAAGUGAAAGAUGGUUUUGCUAUCACUUAUAGAUGGACCCGCGCCGUAUUAGCUAGUUGGUAAGGUAACGGCCUACCAAGGCAACGAUACGUAGCCGACCUGAGAGGGUGAUCGGCCACACUGGAACUGAGACACGGUCCAGACUCCUACGGGAGGCAGCAGUAGGGAAUCUUCCGCAAUGGGCGAAAGCCUGACGGAGCAACGCCGCGUGAGUGAUGAAGGUCUUCGGAUCGUAAAACUCUGUUAUUAGGGAAGAACAAAUGUGUAAGUAACUGUGCACGUCUUGACGGUACCUAAUCAGAAAGCCACGGCUAACUACGUG
This 497-nucleotide ribosomal RNA is filed under the name uncultured bacterium. RNAcentral's name for it is "partial 16S ribosomal RNA". It matches the Rfam family "Bacterial small subunit ribosomal RNA", at positions 28 to 507 of the family's 1533-position model. The record is from RNAcentral.